ACUGCCCCUAGAGGCGUUGCAGGUGUGGUUGCUGUGCCACAUCUGUGUCAUUAGGUGGCGGAGAGAAGAGAGGCCUGACUGUGCCCAGCGUCCUGGCCCGUGGACGUCUGGAUGAUUGAUAGUCUGACACU
Delphinapterus leucas (beluga whale) is the source of this 131-nucleotide small nucleolar RNA. Ensembl annotates it as small nucleolar RNA SNORA17. NCBI's taxonomy places the organism in Eukaryota, Metazoa, Chordata, Mammalia, Artiodactyla, Monodontidae. The record is from Ensembl.